CCUACGGGAGGCAGCAGUGAGGAAUAUUGGUCAAUGGACGAGAGUCUGAACCAGCCAAGUAGCGUGAAGGAUGACUGCCCUAUGGGUUGUAAACUUCUUUUAUAUGGGACUAAAAUGUUCCACGUGUGGGAUUUUGUAUGUACCAUAUGAAUAAGGAUCGGCUAACUCCGUGCCAGCAGCCGCGGUAAUACGGAGGAUCCGAGCUUUAUCCGGAUUUAUUGGGUUUAAAGGGAGCGUAGGUGGAUUGUUAAGUCGGUUGUGAAAGUUUGCGGCUCAACCGUAAAAUUGCAGUUGAAACUGGCAGUCUUGAGUACAGUAGAGGUGGGCGGAAUUCGUGGUGUAGCGGUGAAAUGCUUAGAUAUCACGAAGAACUCCGAUUGCGAAGGCAGUUCACUGGACUGCAACUGACACUGAGGCUCGAAAGUGUGGGUAUCAAACAGGAUUAGAUACCCGAGUAGUC
This 460-nucleotide ribosomal RNA is filed under the name uncultured bacterium. RNAcentral's name for it is "partial 16S ribosomal RNA". It matches the Rfam family "Bacterial small subunit ribosomal RNA", at positions 338 to 795 of the family's 1533-position model. The record is from RNAcentral.